AGAUCCUCGUCACAUCCUCACAAAUUAAGACAAUGGUUAUUUUUCAGCCCUUCCUAUUUAAUCAAACCUCAUUUGACAAAUGAGGGCACCGCAAGUCUCUCUAUAAAGUCUCUUGCUCUCCCAUAAUAGUUUCCGUCUAUCUCUUUCUCACGCUCUCUCUCUUUGCUCGUCAACCUUGAUCGGCCGGCGAGAAAGAUGAGAGAGAUGGACGAGAUGCGGUCAACUUAUGUGUCACCCUAUGGGCCCAGUGGUGACCGGAGCUUUGACAAUGAGGGUUAUGCGUGGGAGAGUAAGAAAAAUUCAUCACAUAAAUCUUCGUCAAUCUACAGUUUCAGCCAAUCAGAGCUUAAGAGACAACGUCGAGUAGCCAAAUACAAGUCCUAUGUCGUUGAAGCCAAAUUUAAAUCCGCUUUAAAGAAUGGGGUACGUUGGUUCAAGAACAAGUAUUCUGCGCUUGUAUAUGCGUAGAUUGAGAGAAUGUAAAGGAAUCUAUCUCAGAUAUGCCAAAACAUUUUGCAUGUAAAUUCUAGCUAGCUAGAUUUGCAUGCAUUUGGGGUGUUAAUUAGCCUUCAAUUAAGGUUGUUUAAUUAAUUCUUUCAAUUUAGUGUGAUCUGUCAUUCAUAUUUUCCAGCCAACACUUUUUGUUCAAUUUAUGUUAUGGAUUAUUAACAUGAGAAUCAUUCAAAAGGCUUUCUGGGAUCAAUGUGAUAAAUGUCAAUCAAGGUAGUAUUAUGGCCAAUUCUUCUUCUUCUUUGAUAAUUUGUCGAAUCUGAAAUGUUUAAGCUAGACAUUGGCUCAUGAAUUCCUUCUUAUGAUAUAUGGGAUUUACAAAGAGCGAAAAGAUGAUUGAUCUUGGUAUAUAAUCUAGAUCAGCUUAAGGUUUGUGAGAGUAUAGCAUAUUAAUUUGUUUAACAAGAGAAUGUAUAUUUACCAAACAGGAAAAAUAACUGCAAGCCAUAAAGAAAUCGGUUACCCAAAAAU
Molecule: long non-coding RNA, 981 nt
Filed under: Prunus dulcis (almond)
Lineage: Eukaryota; Viridiplantae; Streptophyta; Magnoliopsida; Rosales; Rosaceae
Description: sRNA ncRNA
Source: RNAcentral